GAUGAACGCUGGCGGCGUGCCUAAUACAUGCAAGUCGAGCGAACGGACGAGAAGCUUGCUUCUCUGAUGUUAGCGGCGGACGGGUGAGUAACACGUGGAUAACCUACCUAUAAGACUGGGAUAACUUCGGGAAACCGGAGCUAAUACCGGAUAAUAUUUUGAACCGCAUGGUUCAAAAGUGAAAGACGGUCUAGCUGUCACUUAUAGAUGGAUCCGCGCUGCAUUAGCUAGUUGGUAAGGUAACGGCUUACCAAGGCAACGAUGCAUAGCCGACCUGAGAGGGUGAUCGGCCACACUGGAACUGAGACACGGUCCAGACUCCUACGGGAGGCAGCAGUAGGGAAUCUUCCGCAAUGGGCGAAAGCCUGACGGAGCAACGCCGCGUGAGUGAUGAAGGUCUUCGGAUCGUAAAACUCAGUUAUUAGGGAAGAACAUAUGUGUAAGUAACUGUGCACAUCUUGACGGUACCUAAUCAGAAAGCCACGACUAACUACGUGCCAGCAGCCGCGGUAAUACGUAGGUGGCAAGCGUUAUCCGGAAUUAUUGGGCGUAAAGCGCGCGUAGGCGGUUUUUUAAGUCUGAUGUGAAAGCCCACGGCUCAACCGUGGAGGGUCAUUGGAAACUGGAAAACUUGAGUGCAGAAGAGGAAAGUGGAAUUCCAUGUGUAGCGGUGAAAUGCGCAGAGAUAUGGAGGAACACCAGUGGCGAAGGCGACUUUCUGGUCUGUAACUGACGCUGAUGUGCGAAAGCGUGGGGAUCAAACAGGAUUAGAUACCCUGGUAGUCCACGCCGUAAACGAUGAGUGCUAAGUGUUAGGGGGUUUCCGCCCCUUAGUGCUGCAGCUAACGCAUUAAGCACUCCGCCUGGGGAGUACGACCGCAAGGUUGAAACUCAAAGGAAUUGACGGGGACCCGCACAAGCGGUGGAGCAUGUGGUUUAAUUCGAAGCAACGCGAAGAACCUUACCAAAUCUUGACAUCCUUUGACAACUCUAGAGAUAGAGCUUUCCCCUUCGGGGGACAAAGUGACAGGUGGUGCAUGGUUGUCGUCAGCUCGUGUCGUGAGAUGUUGGGUUAAGUCCCGCAACGAGCGCAACCCUUAAGCUUAGUUGCCAUCAUUAAGUUGGGCACUCUAAGUUGACUGCCGGUGACAAACCGGAGGAAGGUGGGGAUGACGUCAAAUCAUCAUGCCCCUUAUGAUUUGGGCUACACACGUGCUACAAUGGACAAUACAAAGGGCAGCGAAACCGCGAGGUCAAGCAAAUCCCAUAAAGUUGUUCUCAGUUCGGAUUGUAGUCUGCAACUCGACUACAUGAAGCUGGAAUCGCUAGUAAUCGUAGAUCAGCAUGCUACGGUGAAUACGUUCCCGGGUCU
Molecule: ribosomal RNA, 1372 nt
Filed under: uncultured bacterium
Lineage: Bacteria
Description: bacterial SSU rRNA
Rfam family: Bacterial small subunit ribosomal RNA
Source: RNAcentral